Molecule: ribosomal RNA, 484 nt
Filed under: uncultured bacterium
Lineage: Bacteria
Description: partial 16S ribosomal RNA
Rfam family: Bacterial small subunit ribosomal RNA
Source: RNAcentral
AUUGAACGCUGGCGGCAGGCCUAACACAUGCAAGUCGAGCGGAUGAAGGGAGCUUGCUCCUGGAUUCAGCGGCGGACGGGUGUGUAAUGCCUAGGAAUCUGCCUGGUAGUGGGGGAUAACGUCCGGAAACGGGCGCUAAUACCGCAUACGUCCUGAGGGAGAAGGUGGGGGUUCUUCGGACCUCACGCUUUCAGAUGAGCCUAGGUCGGAUUAGCUAGUUGGUGGGGUAAAGUCCUACCAAGGCGACGAUCCGUAACUGGUCUGAGAGGAUGAUCAGUCACACGGGAACUGAGACACGGUCCAGACUCCUAGGGGAGGCAGCGGUGGGGAAGAUUGGACAAUGGGCGAAAUCCUGAUCCAGCCAUGCCGGGUGUGUGAAGAAGGUCUUCGGAUUGUAAAGCACUUUAAGUUGGGAGGAAGGGCAGUAAGUUAAUACCUUGCUGUUGUGACGUUACCAACAGAAUAAGCACCGGCUAACUUCGUG